GACCAAAGAGGGGGACCUUCGGGCCUCUUGCCAUCGGAUGUGCCCAGAUGGGAUUAGCUAGUAGGUGGGGUAACGGCUCACCUAGGCGACGAUCCCUAGCUGGUCUGAGAGGAUGACCAGCCACACUGGAACUGAGACACGGUCCAGACUCCUACGGGAGGCAGCAGUGGGGAAUAUUGCACAAUGGGCGCAAGCCUGAUGCAGCCAUGCCGCGUGUAUGAAGAAGGCCUUCGGGUUGUAAAGUACUUUCAGCGGGGAGGAA
Molecule: ribosomal RNA, 262 nt
Filed under: Escherichia coli
Lineage: Bacteria; Pseudomonadati; Pseudomonadota; Gammaproteobacteria; Enterobacterales; Enterobacteriaceae
Description: partial 16S ribosomal RNA
Rfam family: Bacterial small subunit ribosomal RNA
Source: RNAcentral